Molecule: transfer-messenger RNA, 328 nt
Filed under: Alphaproteobacteria bacterium
Lineage: Bacteria; Pseudomonadati; Pseudomonadota; Alphaproteobacteria
Rfam family: Alphaproteobacteria transfer-messenger RNA
About the family: Bacterial tmRNA, also known as 10Sa RNA or SsrA, is named for its dual tRNA and mRNA-like properties. Its role is to liberate the mRNA from a stalled ribosome.
Source: RNAcentral
GAUCUUCCAAAAAGAGACAUUUUUAUUUAUAUAAGAGGGGCUGGGUUUUCUCAGCUAUAGUGAUAAACGUUUUUCGUAAUAAACGAAGCGGACCCGGGGGCAGUACCCGGCGCCUCCACCAAUAAUGUUAUUGAUGUCGUUUGGUUAUAUCUGGGGGCGAAAUAGGAUCGACGCUCGCGUAAAAGUUGAGCUUUCACUCGGCAUGGUACCGUCGUUAUCGGACCAAAACUAUAGGUGCCAACGAUAAUGUUGAGCCUACCGCUGUUGCCGCUUAAUAAGCGUCAAUAAGCGCGGUUCGGGGAGCACCGGGCAACAGAAGCUCCCCACU